AUGGUGAAGGAGAAGGGGAAUGAGAAGGGAAAGGGUGCUGGUAAGGAGAAUGGGAAGCCGAAGGGUGCUGGUAAGGAGAAUGGGAAGGCAAAGGCAAAGGAAAAGAGCUUGAAUUACCUAAUUAGGCAAGAUUCGGCGCUGCCUCCUCUAGUUCCGAGGAAGAAGAGCAAACCUAAGGUGCAGAUUAAGAAGGCAAAAGACUUUCCCAAUGCCCCAAUGGGAGAGUUAAUUUGUAGGUUAAAAAAACACCCUCCGCCUCCUCCGCGUCUCCCCGACCGCACCGGUGCCGGCGUGCGUGCCGCGGAAGCCGCUGCCUCCGGCUCGGCAACUGGCUCCGAGCUGCCUCAUGCAUCUACUAUUGAAAUGGGUGAAGCAAUGUUGGAGAAGUUUGACAAAUAUUGGGAAGAAAAGAACAAUGCCAUGGUGAUCGCAACCGUCUUUGAUCCACGGUACAAGAUGAAUUACAUAGAGUGGGCCUUUGGAGAACUAUAUGGAGUAGGAAGUACGAGGGGUAGGACUGAGAUGAAAAUCGUGGAGAAAGAGUUGGCGACCUUGUAUGACAAAUGUGUUUCCCAAGAUAAGCGAGCUGGAAAUGGAGAAAGUGUAUCUUCCUCUACAAACAUUCCUAGUAUCCCGGUUCAAGCUGGGUAUGAGUCCUUCUUAUCGUCCCGUUCAACAAGAAUAUCAAAGAGUGAGUUGAGAAACUACUUAGAGGAUGCGGUUGAACCUCGCAACAAGGCUCUUGAUCUUCUUGGUUGGUGGAAAGUCAAUGCUCCUAGGUACCCAAUUAUGGCCAAGAUAGCCAGGAGGUUCCUUACUAUCCCGGCUACCUCUGUGUCUUCAGAAUCUACCUUCAGCACGAUCGGAAGGAUUUUAGGUAUGUCAACUCGUACUAAUGAACUCUGGAUAUAA
This 912-nucleotide ribosomal RNA is filed under the name Triticum aestivum (bread wheat). RNAcentral describes it as "partial small subunit ribosomal RNA". Lineage: Eukaryota; Viridiplantae; Streptophyta; Magnoliopsida; Poales; Poaceae. The record is from RNAcentral.